GUAAUUCAUUAAAUUUUUAAAAUAAUUAUUCGAGAGAUUCUUGUGACUUUGUGUUGAGAAAGAAAUUGUGGAUGCCUGGCAUAUUUUGGCUAAAUGUGGGCGUCUUAAAGUGCUACAUGAAGUUUUUGGUUGUGAAGUCCUUACCAGGGAGCGUGAUUCCUCUACUAUAAGUUUAAUCUUGUUUCUGGUGUUGUUUGGGAGCAUCUGUAUCUUCAGUAUUAACUUAUUUUUUUUUUAUAGGUACUGAAGUUUAUAUAUUCAUGGGUCAAGCAGGAGCUGGUCACCAUCGCCGCGGAGAGCAAUGUGGCGUGGCCCUCGCGACAAGCGGUAGAUUGGUACAACUUCUGCCGGGUAGUUGCGGAGGUUUUUGUCUCCCAAAAUCAAGAUAUCCAGCUAGGCGGCGAAGAAAUGCACGUCGAGGUAACGAUUGGUCCACGUUUGUGACUUUGCCAAAAAGUCUGUCUGUAUUGAUGAUUUUGGAUCGAUGAGACCUUCACUCGGAGGCGAAAAUACAACCACGGCCGCGUACGUGUAAGCACCCAAAUUACAAUAUUUGGUGCCUACUGUCGGGAAACGAGAGAGCUGAUGUACUGGCAUGUGGAGAACAAAAGCAGACAAGUUGUGUGGAGACACAUGCUCGGAUACAUCGCUCCAAAAUCCAUCAUAGUUUCCGACAGCGCGGCCCAGUAUUGCGGUUGUACGGCUUUGGGCUUCUCUGACCAUAAGAUCGUCAAUCACAGCCAGCGGGGCCCCGGGAGAUGAGAAGGAUGUGCUAAUUGAAAUGUGUUAAUUGAAAAUGACGGGCGUUAUGGCGAAGCAACAUUUUUUAUUUUUUCUUUUAUUUGCAAAUUCGUCGACACGGAUGAUCCUGAGGACCACACUCAAAACAUCGAGUGUAGACAUCGCUGGCUGAAGUCCAUCAAGUCGCUCCGAACAGACAGGAGCCUGCAAAGUUACACCUGCACGUACGUGUACUGGAUGCGGUUCCUGUCCCAGUCGCCAACAACAUUGGCGAAAUUCCGGCAGUUCAUCAGGGACAUCGUGGCCGUCUACCCAGGUCCCGGUUGCCAGGGUCUGCAACUCCAGACGAUCUGUGUGCCCGUGGAUGAACAUCUGCCUCCCGACGAGCCCUAUUUCGAUGUUCCCGUGCACGAGGGCGACGUAGAGGAACGUCAGGGGGAUGACGGU
Centruroides sculpturatus (bark scorpion) is the source of this 1188-nucleotide long non-coding RNA. RefSeq lists it as uncharacterized. Lineage: Eukaryota; Metazoa; Arthropoda; Arachnida; Scorpiones; Buthidae. The transcript has 4 exons. The record is from RefSeq and is a predicted model, not a curated record.